CCUACGGGAGGCAGCAGUGAGGAAUAUUGGUCAAUGGACUCAAGUCUGAACCAGCCAUGCCGCGUGCAGGAAGACGGCUCUAUGAGUUGUAAACUGCUUUUGUACGAGGGUAAACGCAGAUACGCGUAUCUGUCUGAAAGUAUCGUACGAAUAAGGAUCGGCUAACUCCGUGCCAGCAGCCGCGGUAAUACGGAGGAUUCAAGCGUUAUCCGGAUUUAUUGGGUUUAAAGGGGGCGUAGGCGGUCGGAUAAGUUAGAGGUGAAAUCCCGAGGCUCACAUUCGGAAUUGCCUCUAAUACUGUUGAUCUAGAGAGUAGAUGCGGUAGGCGGAAUGCAUGGUGUAGCGGUGAAAUGCUUAGAGAUCAUACAGAACACCGAUUGCGAAGGCAGCUUACCAAUCUAUAUCUGACGUUGAGGCACGAAAGCGUGGGUAGCAAACAGGAUUAGAUACCCCAGUAGUC
RNAcentral lists this ribosomal RNA (460 nucleotides) under uncultured bacterium. RNAcentral's name for it is "partial 16S ribosomal RNA". It matches the Rfam family "Bacterial small subunit ribosomal RNA", at positions 338 to 795 of the family's 1533-position model. The record is from RNAcentral.